This is a long non-coding RNA of Equus quagga, 549 nucleotides long. RefSeq lists it as uncharacterized. The record is from RefSeq and is a predicted model, not a curated record. The transcript has 2 exons. Lineage: Eukaryota; Metazoa; Chordata; Mammalia; Perissodactyla; Equidae.
AGGGCGGAAUUAGAAUAGUUGGAGUGAAAGCGAGGGUGCGAAAAGGACACCGAUCGUCAGUAGUUGCGUUCCAAGUAUUCCUGGCCUUUGUAAGGCACUUGGGUUGGUCGGCCCUCGGCGGGUUCCGGGUGUGUGUACGUCUCCGCGGCCGUUCUGAAGGAGCCUGGUCUGGGCGUCACGGCCCCGUCACACGGCCCGGCCUUCCCCGUGGGUGCUCUCGGGCCCGCUGGGGCGCUGGUGCCCGUUUCCCUCUUGAACUGACGCUCCCGAUGCUGUUGGAAGGCUGAUUGUCCUUUUCGCUGGUGUGUUUUGUCCUUCGCGUGACCUUCACCGGUGAAAACACGCCCAUGGGACGCCCCGAGGGGGCGGACGUGGGAUGGAGAGCCCAUGCUCCUGGGUUCGGGGGCAGUCGCUCCGCGCUGCCCUGGCGGCUUCAGGCAGGUGGUCUGGACCUCUCUCUGCCUCGGUUUCUCUACUAGAAAGGACAUAUUGCCCUACCUCACAGGGGUGUUGCGAGGAUUAAUAAAUGUUGGUCCGGUGCUUUGGAGA